Long non-coding RNA from Dromiciops gliroides (monito del monte), 499 nucleotides. RefSeq lists it as uncharacterized. The record is from RefSeq and is a predicted model, not a curated record. The transcript has 2 exons. Lineage: Eukaryota; Metazoa; Chordata; Mammalia; Microbiotheria; Microbiotheriidae.
CUCCAGUGGAUUAAGGCUAACAGAGGUUACGUGACUUGCCCACGAUCACAGAACUAUGGUAAAGAAUUGGAAAUUAUGGGAGUACCUUCAUCUGGAGAAAGGCUGAAAAAUUAUGAUACAUGAAUAUGAUGGAUGUGCCUUAAUAAAUGACAAAAGUGAGUUUCAGAGAAACCUGGGAAGACUUGUAUGAACUGAUGAAGCACGAAGUGAGCAGAACAAGAACUAUUUAUACAGUAUCAACAAUAUUGUAAAGACAAACAACUUUGAAAGAAUUGAGAACUCUAAUCAACCCAAUGACCAAUGAAAAUUCCAGGGGACUGAUAAAGAAGCAUGCUACCCACCUCCUGACAGAGAGGUCAUGAACUCGGGAUGCAGAUUGAGAAAUAUAUUUUUGCACAUGGCCAAUGAAAGAAUUUGUUUUGUUUGACUAUGCAUAUUUGCUACAAGUGGGAAAAAUAAUUUUUAAAAAUUAAAACAAAUUAAUUUUUUAAAAAGUGAA